This 471-nucleotide ribosomal RNA is filed under the name uncultured bacterium. RNAcentral describes it as "bacterial SSU rRNA". It matches the Rfam family "Bacterial small subunit ribosomal RNA", at positions 355 to 825 of the family's 1533-position model. The record is from RNAcentral.
UGGGGAAUUGUUCGCAAUGGGCGCAAGCCUGACGACGCAACGCCGCGUGGAGGAUGAAGGUCUUCGGAUUGUAAACUCCUGUUGCCCGGGACGAAAAGCUCUGACCUAACACGUUAGAGUCUGACGGUACCGGGUGAGGAAGCCCCGGCUAACUCUGUGCCAGCAGCCGCGGUAAUACAGAGGGGGCAAGCGUUGUUCGGAAUUACUGGGCGUAAAGGGCGCGUAGGCGGCCUGUUAAGUCGAACGUGAAAUCCCCGGGCUCAACCCGGGAACUGCGUCCGAUACUGGCUGGCUUGAAUCCGGGAGAGGGAUGCGGAAUUCCAGGUGUAGCGGUGAAAUGCGUAGAUAUCUGGAGGAACACCGGUGGCGAAGGCGGCAUCCUGGACCGGUAUUGACGCUGAGGCGCGAAAGCCAGGGGAGCAAACGGGAUUAGAUACCCAUGUAGUCCCUGAGCGGGCUGGCAAGGCGCAU